UUCUCAGUAGUAUAGAGGUAGAAUCCACGCCUGUCACGCGUGUGGCCCGGGUUCGAUUCCCGGCUGGGAAG
Microbotryum lychnidis-dioicae p1A1 Lamole is the source of this 71-nucleotide transfer RNA. It matches the Rfam family "tRNA". Rfam says of the family: Transfer RNA (tRNA) molecules are approximately 80 nucleotides in length. The record is from Rfam. NCBI's taxonomy places the organism in Eukaryota, Fungi, Basidiomycota, Microbotryomycetes, Microbotryales, Microbotryaceae.